GAUCCUGGCUCAGGAUGAACGCUAGCUACAGGCUUAACACAUGCAAGUCGAGGGGCAGCAUGAUUGAAGCUUGCUUCAAUUGAUGGCGACCGGCGCACGGGUGAGUAACACGUAUCCAACCUUCCGUACACUCAGGGAUAGCCUUUCGAAAGAAAGAUUAAUACCUGAUGGUAUCUUAAGCACACAUGUAAUUAAGAUUAAAGAUUUAUCGGUGUACGAUGGGGAUGCGUUCCAUUAGGUAGUAGGCGGGGUAACGGCCCACCUAGCCUACGAUGGAUAGGGGUUCUGAGAGGAAGGUCCCCCACAUUGGAACUGAGACACGGUCCAAACUCCUACGGGAGGCAGCAGUGAGGAAUAUUGGUCAAUGGACGAGAGUCUGAACCAGCCAAGUAGCGUGAAGGAUGAAGGUCCUACGGAUUGUAAACUUCUUUUAUAAGGGAAUAAAACCUCCCACGUGUGGGAGCUUGUAUGUACCUUAUGAAUAAGCAUCGGCUAACUCCGUG
RNAcentral lists this ribosomal RNA (503 nucleotides) under uncultured bacterium. RNAcentral describes it as "bacterial SSU rRNA". It matches the Rfam family "Bacterial small subunit ribosomal RNA", at positions 15 to 507 of the family's 1533-position model. The record is from RNAcentral.